RNAcentral lists this ribosomal RNA (1012 nucleotides) under Pseudoniphargus daviui. RNAcentral describes it as "16S ribosomal RNA". The stretch from base 796 to 954 matches the Rfam family "Archaeal large subunit ribosomal RNA", at positions 2542 to 2701 of the family's 2987-position model. Lineage: Eukaryota; Metazoa; Arthropoda; Malacostraca; Amphipoda; Allocrangonyctidae. The record is from RNAcentral.
AUAUAAUUUUAUUUUUGGGUUAAGAAAGAAUAUGUAUUGUAGUACCUUUUGUAUCAGGGUUGUUUAAUUAGAGAAGUAAUUUAUAUUUCUCGAUAUUAAGUGAAUUAAAUAGGUUAUUAUGUGUUGAAUAAUUAUAUUGAUUUAUUUAGUAGUGAAAUUUUUUCGUAGUUGAAGGUAUCUGGUUAUUAAUAAGAAUAAUAAGAAGGAUAAGCUUUUUAUUAUGAUAUAUUUGUAGGGCUAUAUAAUAAAUUAGGCUUAAGAUUAGCUUUAUUGAUAUUUUGUUUUAAAUUUUUUAUAGGACAGCAGAAAAGGAAUUAUUUUAAGUUAGUGAUUUUAUUUAAUAAAUAAGGUUUAUUUAUAAUGAAUGAAUAAGUAUUUUUUUUUUCUGUUUAAUAUAACUCGAGGGUUAUAGAAUAGUUUAUCAAAAACAUUUUUUUACUUGUGUAAAGUAAGGCCUGCCCGGUGUAUAAUUAACGGCUGCGGUAUCUUGACUGUGCUAAGGUAGCAUAAUAAUUUGUUUCUUAAUUGGAAACUGGAAUGAAAGGUUUUAUCUAUGAUUUGUUUUAUUCACAGAAGAGAUAAUUUAUAUUUAUAGUAAAAAUACUAUAAUAAAAUAAAGUGACGAUAAGACCCUAUAAGCUUUAUUUAUAUAAUUGGCGGGAUAAGGAUUUAUCUUCUAUUAAUUGAAUGUUAAAUUUGCUGGGGCAGUGACAUUAUUUAAUUUAAUGUGAGUUUUACAUUGAUGGAUGAGCAUAAGAUCUUCUUAUAGAGAUAGCUAGGACGAGUUACUGUAGGGAUAACAGCGCAAUAAUUUUGGAGAGGCCUUAUUGAUAAAAUUGAUUGCGACCUCGAUGUUGAAUUAAGAUUUCUUUUUGUUGCAGAAGAUAUAAGAGAGGGUUUGUUCAACCUUUAAAUUUUUACAUGAUUUGAGUUCAAAUCGGUUUAAGCCAGAUUGGUUUCUAUCUUUUAUUUAUUAUGUUUUGUGUAAGUACGAAAGGGACACAUAAAGUUU